GCUUCAUACAAAUAUACAGAUGUAGCUUCUUUUUAUAUAGAAUGCAGAUACGUGUUAUCUUUAGUAUGCAGGAUCCAGCAGGUUGUCAAGAGGUUGAUGGCGUUGAUGGAAGGGUCGAUUUAGCCGAGCUGGUGGCGUGAAAUUCAAUGGAGUUGAGUGUGCUGGGACGCCGUUGGUGGAAACUUGUUGAAUUGGGCCUUGUUGGGCGCGGGAGGAAAAAAAAAUUGGAGUAGAGGCUGUGAAGUUGGGUCUUUGUCCCACCCUUCACCUCACAUCGAACCAAACCCUAGGUUCACACUGGUGCACCGCCGCCGCUGGGCAUCGCACGGCCGCCGUCCGUCGCGCGCGGGAUUGAGCUCUGUUAGGCGUGGUCGGUGGUGGUCUUUGUGCUUUUGAGGUCGCUAAUCAUCCGCUACUUCGUCGUAGCCCUGGAGUGGUGGUGCUCUGACUUCGCAGCCAGCCGUUAAAAGAUGGAGUCACUUGUGAUAUAAUGAGUGCUAUCUAAUUAGAUAUAACUUCCCUCAAGAUAUAAUGUGUUACUUAAUUAUAAUGAUUUGCUGUUUCUGAUUUUUCGAA
Non-coding RNA from Arachis ipaensis, 576 nucleotides. Lineage: Eukaryota; Viridiplantae; Streptophyta; Magnoliopsida; Fabales; Fabaceae. The record is from RefSeq and is a predicted model, not a curated record.